CUAAUCGACAGCCUGUGUGUGAAGUUCUAUACCAGAGUGUAACAGUGACCAAGUGCUAAAGUGGAAGCAAACAUCAUUCGCCGUGCUCUAUCUACUGGAUUGUGAAUUGUGAGCUGUAGAAAAUGAGCAGACCCCUGGUUCUCAUAAUAAUGUUACUGCUGUUGGAGAUAGGACCAGACGCUAAAGUUGCGUGACCAUCCAAGAGCUAUUACCGAUCUCAAGAUGUCCCAUGGAAGGGACAAAGCGCCGAGUGCUUUCGAUUAAAGAAGCAGGGGUGUGCAGGAGCCGGGUUGGACUCUUCAAUGGGUCAGCCUGGUUCUAUGAAGUGCCAUGAUACACUUUUGUAAUUAUUAAUACGGUUCUAUUUAUGGCUAUUUAUAAAUUUGUUAAUAAAAAUUAUUAAUAA
Long non-coding RNA from Ostrinia nubilalis (European corn borer), 406 nucleotides. RefSeq lists it as uncharacterized. Lineage: Eukaryota; Metazoa; Arthropoda; Insecta; Lepidoptera; Crambidae. The record is from RefSeq and is a predicted model, not a curated record. The transcript has 3 exons.